RNAcentral lists this ribosomal RNA (497 nucleotides) under uncultured bacterium. RNAcentral describes it as "partial 16S ribosomal RNA". It matches the Rfam family "Bacterial small subunit ribosomal RNA", at positions 28 to 507 of the family's 1533-position model. The record is from RNAcentral.
GAUGAACGCUGGCGGCGUGCCUAAUACAUGCAAGUCGAGCGAACAGACGAGGAGCUUGCUCCUCUGACGUUAGCGGCGGACGGGUGAGUAACACGUGGAUAACCUACCUAUAAGACUGGGAUAACUUCGGGAAACCGGAGCUAAUACCGGAUAAUAUAUUGAACCGCAUGGUUCAAUAGUGAAAGACGGUUUUGCUGUCACUUAUAGAUGGAUCCGCGCCGCAUUAGCUAGUUGGUAAGGUAACGGCUUACCAAGGCAACGAUGCGUAGCCGACCUGAGAGGGUGUUCGGCCACACUGGAACUGAGACACGGUCCAGACUCCUACGGGAGGCAGCAGUAGGGAAUCUUCCGCAAUGGGCGAAAGCCUGACGGAGCAACGCCGCGUGAGUGAUGAAGGUCUUCGGAUCGUAAAACUCUGUUAUUAGGGAAGAACAAAUGUGUAAGUAACUAUGCACGUCUUGACGGUACCUAAUCAGAAAGCCACGGCUAACUACGUG